This 342-nucleotide ribosomal RNA is filed under the name uncultured bacterium. RNAcentral describes it as "bacterial SSU rRNA". It matches the Rfam family "Bacterial small subunit ribosomal RNA", at positions 167 to 507 of the family's 1533-position model. The record is from RNAcentral.
UACUCCAUAAUAUAUUGGAUUGGCAUCAAUUGAUAUUGAAAGCUCCGGCGGAUAGAGAUGGGCACGCGCAAGAUUAGUUAGUUGGUGAGGUAACGGCUCACCAAGACGAUGAUCUUUAGGGGGCCAGAGAGGGUGAUUCCCCACACUGGUACUGAGACACGGACCAGACUCCUACGGGAGGCAGCAGUGAGGAAUAUUGGUCAAUGGGUGCAAGCCUGAACCAGCCAUCCCGCGUGAAGGACGACUGCCCUAUGGGUUGUAAACUUCUUUUGUAUAGGGAUAAACCUACCCUCGUGAGGGUAGCUGAAGGUACUAUACGAAUAAGCACCGGCUAACUCCGUG